UACAGAGGUCUCAAGCGUUGUUCGGAUUCAUUGGGCGUAAAGGGCGCGUAGGCUGCGGGGCAAGUCGGGUGUGAAAUCUCAGAGCUCAACUCUGAAACUGCACCCGAUACUGCUUUGCUCGAGGACUGGAGAGGAGAUUGGAAUUCACGGUGUAGCAGUGAAAUGCGUAGAUAUCGUGAGGAAGACCAGUGGCGAAGGCGGAUCUCUGGACAGUUCCUGACGCUGAGGCGCGAAGGCCAGGGGAGCAAACGGG
Molecule: ribosomal RNA, 253 nt
Filed under: uncultured bacterium
Lineage: Bacteria
Description: partial 16S ribosomal RNA
Rfam family: Bacterial small subunit ribosomal RNA
Source: RNAcentral